AUACGUAGGUGGCGAGCGUUGUCCGGAUUUACUGGGCGUAAAGGAUGCGUAGGUGGAAAUUUAAGUGGGAUGUGAAAUCCCCGGGCUCAACCCGGGAACUGCAUUCCAAACUGGACUUCUAGAGUGCAGGAGAGGAAAGCGGAAUUCCUAGUGUAGCGGUGAAAUGCGUAGAUAUUAGGAAGAACACCAGUAGCGAAGGCGGCUUUCUGGACUGUAACUGACACUGAGGCACGAAAGCGUGGGGAGC
Molecule: ribosomal RNA, 247 nt
Filed under: uncultured bacterium
Lineage: Bacteria
Description: partial 16S ribosomal RNA
Rfam family: Bacterial small subunit ribosomal RNA
Source: RNAcentral